Molecule: ribosomal RNA, 391 nt
Filed under: uncultured soil bacterium
Lineage: Bacteria
Description: bacterial SSU rRNA
Rfam family: Bacterial small subunit ribosomal RNA
Source: RNAcentral
AGAGUGAACGCUGGCGGUAGGCCUAACACAUGCAAGUCGAACGGCAGCACAGUAGGAGCUUGCUCUUACGGGUGGCGAGUGGCGGACGGGUGAGGAAUACAUCGGAAUCUACCUUUUGGUGGGGGAUAACGUAGGGAAACUUACGCUAAUACCGCAUACGCCCUUCGGGGGAAAGCCGGGGACCAGCAAUGGCCUGGUGCUGAUAGAUGAGCCGAUGUCGGAUUAGCUAGUUGGUGAGGUAAUGGCUCACCAAGGCGACGAUCCGUAGCUGGUCUGAGAGGAUGAUCAAGCCACACUGGAACUGAAGACACGGUCCAGACCCCGUAGGGAGCAGCAGUGGGAAUAGUGGACAAGUGGGCACGAAGCCUAGACUACCGAGCCAAGUACCCGG